GGCCGCGCUGGCCCGGGCGGCCGAGAGCGGCGCUCUCAUCGUCGUCGGAGUUCCGAUGCCCGCCGUCGAUUCGAUCCUGGCUGCGGUGGCC
Molecule: transfer RNA, 91 nt
Filed under: Rhodococcus sp. B10
Lineage: Bacteria; Bacillati; Actinomycetota; Actinomycetes; Mycobacteriales; Nocardiaceae
Description: tRNA-Glu
Source: RNAcentral